This is an RNA transcript of Quercus robur (English oak), 1304 nucleotides long. It is a transcript of the gene named probable plastid-lipid-associated protein 11, chloroplastic, with no coding region annotated. The transcript is spliced from 5 exons. The record is from RefSeq and is a predicted model, not a curated record. Lineage: Eukaryota; Viridiplantae; Streptophyta; Magnoliopsida; Fagales; Fagaceae.
GUUCACAAAAAAGCAUCCAUCCACAAUGAAAGAGCUACUUCCUUCACACUUCUCACCAUGGCUACAUGUCUCCUCCUUCCCAUUCCCUCCAAACCCCAAAACCCAAACUCUCCCAAACACCGCCACACUAAAAUCACCACCUGCUCCUCCUCCUCCUCCCUCACAGCCCAAUCCCAAUCCGCCAAGCGCCACCUCCUCUCCCUCAUCUCCGACCAAGACCGCGGCCUCAAGACCCAGCGAGACCCUCCCAAACGAGCUUCCAUCGUCGAAGCCAUCGACGCCUUGGCCGUGCUCGGCCGCGAUACAGUCACCACCGGCGGCUCCCUCUCCGCCACGUGGCGGAUGCUCUGGACCACCGAGAAGGAGCAGCUCUUCAUCGUCGAGAAUGCGCGCUUGUUCGGUACUGCCGCCGGUGACGUUUUGCAGGUCAUAGACGUCGAGAACAAGACUCUCAACAAUGUCAUCACUUUCCCUCCCCACGGCGUUUUCUUCGUUCGCUCCGUCAUCGAAAUCGCUUCGCCUCAGAGAGUGAAUUUUAGAUUUACGAGUGCGGUUUUACGUGGGAAGAAUUGGGAAUUUCCGUUGCCGCCAUUUGGGCAGGGCUGGUUUGAGACUGUGUACCUUGAUGAUGAGAUUCGAGUCGUGAAGGACAUCAGGGGAGACUAUUUGGUUGUUGACCGUGCUCCUUAUGCUUGGAAAGAAUGAAGGGCAAAAGUCAUGGUUUUGUUAUAGUUGCCAUUAUGGGAACAAAAUAAGACAUUAUAAAUAUAUAUUGGGACCAAACAAUCUCACCACCUCACAACACCGGAUUGGAAGACUACAAAGUCAAUUCCAUUUACCAGGGUUCUCUUUAUAAGAGCAAAUGCAACUCAUGGAAAUCAACUCUCCAAACUCAUUGUUGUAAGUGUCACUCUUCUGUCAACAAAAUGGCUUGCCUCACUAUAGUCAUCAGAUUCUUGCUUUUCUAACCUAUACUUUGAAUAACAUGAAGCUGAAGUCUAUAUUAUUACAAGUUCUUUGGAACUAAGGCUGUGUUUAUAGAGAUAUGACCUAGUUCUAGUUGAAAUUUGCUGUCUUGUAAACAGGUUGGCCAUGUGCAGCUCAUUACUACUAUUUAUACUGUACUGAUGCACUUCUCAUCUAAUCAGCAUACUCUCUCUCUCCAUACACACAAUAAUGCAUACAUAUACACAUUCCUUUGUAUUUUAUAUUUCUAUUUAUGCAAGCUGGAAUUUGUUGAAACUUGUUUAAGUGGCUUUUUAUAAAGCUUUUGGGAUGCACAAGGAGCACUCAAUUUGUAUGUA